AGACAGAGGGUGCAAACGUUGCUCGGAAUUACUGGGCGUAAAGCGCGGGUAGGCGGCCUUGUAAGUCGGAUGUGAAAGCCCACCGCUCAACGGUGGAACGGCAUUCGAUACUGCUCGGCUUGGAGUGCAGGAGAGGAGGGCGGAAUUUCCGGUGUAGCGGUGAAAUGCGUAGAGAUCGGAAGGAACACCGGUGGCGAAGGCGGCUCUCUGGACUGCAACUGACGCUGAGACGCGAAAGCGUGGGGAGCAAACAGGAUUAGAUACCCCGGUAGUCC
Molecule: ribosomal RNA, 275 nt
Filed under: uncultured bacterium
Lineage: Bacteria
Description: partial 16S ribosomal RNA
Rfam family: Bacterial small subunit ribosomal RNA
Source: RNAcentral